AUUCCAGCUCCAAUAGCGUAUACUAAAGUUGUUGCAGUUAAAAAGCUCGUAGUUGAAUUUCUGGUCGUGGCGACCGGUCCGCCCCUCACGGGGUGUGCACCUGGUCUCUGCGUCCAUCCUCGGGGAGAGCGUAUCUGGCAUUCAGUUGUCGGGUGCGGGAUCCUCGUCAUUUACUGUGAGCAAAAUAGAGUGUUCAAAGCAGGCUUAGGCCGUUGAAUACAUUAGCAUGGAAUAAUAAGAUAGGACCUUGGUCUAUUUUGUUGGUUUGCAUUCCGAGGUAAUGAUUAAUAGGGAUAGUUGGGGGUAUUCGUAUUCAAUUGUCAGAGGUGAAAUUCUUGGAUUUAUGAAAGAUGAACUUAUGCGAAGGCAUUUACCAUGGAUGUUUUCAUCG
RNAcentral lists this ribosomal RNA (391 nucleotides) under Chrysophyceae sp. RNAcentral's name for it is "partial small subunit ribosomal RNA". It matches the Rfam family "Eukaryotic small subunit ribosomal RNA", at positions 582 to 975 of the family's 1831-position model. Lineage: Eukaryota; Chrysophyceae. The record is from RNAcentral.